AUGGACGGUGACGGCCGACACGACGACGGCGACUGGGUGCUGCCCUGCGCUGCCCUCGCCGACGUUACUCUGGCCCUCGUCGGAAAUAUCGGUUCCGGGAAGAGCGCCACCGCGAACAGCAUCCUUGGAAAGGAAACAUUUCCCUCUGAGUUGUCCUACAGCGGGGUUACUUUGACUUGCCAGAAGAGAAGCAGGACGCUUCACGAUGGCUGUGCGACCCGCACCCUCAAUGUCAUCGACACUCCGGGCUUAUUUGAGGUGGACACUACACCUGAAAACGUUCACACAGAGAUUGCCAGGUGUUUGGACAUGACAAAAGAUGGAAUACAUGUGAUACUGAUGGUUUUUUCAGCUACAUGUCGGUUUUCUCGUGAAGAUGAGAAAACAGUAGAGUCGAUUAAACUGCUUCUUGGGGACAAAGUCCUUGACCAUAUGAUUUUAGUUUUCACGCAUGGAGAUAUAGACAUGCUAAACCUAUGUAAAAACAGGGUUGUUCUGUUUAACAAUAAGACAAGCAAUAAGAAGCGCCAUUUGGCACAACUGAAAAAAUUGCUUGAUGCAGUGGACUCUGUUAUAUCCAGCAAUGAUGGAUACCCAUUUUACAGCGAGAGCAGUCGAAUUCAGCAAGCGCAGAACAGGGAAGAAAUAAGUGUUGACGAAUGCUCAGCAGAACAGAUGUCCAAAAUGAAGAAAGAGAUACAUGAUGAAUGCCUUGCACGGCUUGGAAAGAUGGUGGAGGAAAAUUCAAAUAGUACAAUUACUAGGCUUGAAAAACUACUGUUGGAAGAGCAGAAAGCCAGGCUGGAGUCGGAGAAUGAGGUGGCAGAAGCAUUGUUACGAUCAGAAAAGGAGAUCCAGAAGCUCAGUGAGAUGCUAAAGAAGGCUAAGCAGGAGACUGAGAACGCUCAAAAAGAAAUGGAAAAACUCAAAAAGAGAGUGAAAACUCUUGAAAAGAAAAACUAA
This 963-nucleotide ribosomal RNA is filed under the name Triticum aestivum (bread wheat). RNAcentral describes it as "partial small subunit ribosomal RNA". Lineage: Eukaryota; Viridiplantae; Streptophyta; Magnoliopsida; Poales; Poaceae. The record is from RNAcentral.